UCAUAUGCUUGUCUCAAAGAUUAAGCCAUGCAUGUCUAAGAAUAAACCCCAGAACGGUGAAUCUGCGAAUGGCUCAUUAAAUCAGUUAUUGUUUAUUUGAUGGUACCUUUUGCUACUUGGAUAACCGUAGUAAUUCUAGAGCUAAUACAUGCGCCAAGCCCCGACUACGCAUUCGUGCGUGGAAGGGGUGCAUUUAUUAGAUUCAAACCAUCCUUUGUUUAGAUGGCGAGUCAUAAUAACUGAGCGAAUCGAAUAUCGUGCCUCGCGCACGUCGAUGCUUCAUUCAAAUUUCUGCCCUAUCAGCUUUCGAUGGUAGGAUCUUGGCCUACCAUGGCUAUAACGGGUAACGGGGAAUUAGGGUUCGAUUCCGGAGAGGGCGCAUGAGAAACGGCGACCACAUCCAAGGAUGGCAGCAGGCGCGCAAAUUACCCAAUCCCGACACGGGGAGGUAGUGACCAAAAAUAACAAUGCUGGACUAUUACUAGUCCGGCAAUUGGAAUGAGAGUAAUUUAAACCCAUUCUCGAGGAGCCAUUGGAGGGCAAGUCUGGUGCCAGCAGCCGCGGUAAUUCCAGCUCCAAUAGCGUAUAUUAAAGUUGUUGCAGUUAAAAAGCUCGUAGUCUGACUUUUGGGUUGUGGGGUUUUAAUUGGCCGCGCGCUGCCCCGUCAAACGGGUGGCGUUGUUUCGGCCGACCCGCAGCCGCGCCUUGGAAGUCAAACUCCAGGCGUAACUUUCGGAGGCCCAUGGCUCACGCCAUGGAAUUCCGGUGGUUUACUUUGAGAAAAAUAGAGUGUUCAAAGCAGGCGUUAAUUUUUUGCCUUUGAAUACAUUAGCAUGGGAUAGUGGAAUAGGACGUUGGUUCUAUUUUGGUGGUGUUAAGCACCGACGUAAUGAUUAAUAGGGACAGUCGGGGACAUUCAUAUUCCAUGGCUAGAGGUGAAAUUCUUGGAUUCAUGGAAGAUGAACUACUGCGAAAGCAUUUGUCAAGGAUGUUUUCAUUGAUCAAGAACGAAAGUUAGGGGAGCAAAGACGAUCAGAUACCGUCGUAGUCUUAACCAUAAACGAUGCCGACUAGGGAUCGGCGGGAGUUAGUAUGUCUUGGAAACAGGACUUUUGAUGACCCCGUCGGCACCUCAUGGGAAACCAAAGUCUUUGGGUUCCGGGGGGAGUAUGGUCGCAAGGCUGAAACUUAAAGGAAUUGACGGAAGGGCACCACCAGGAGUGGAGCCUGCGGCUUAAUUUGACUCAACACGGGAAGACUCACCAGGUCCAGACAUAGUAAGGACUGACAGAUUGAGAGCUCUUUCUUGAUUCUAUGAAAGGUGGCGCAUGGCCGUUCUUAGUUGGUGGAGUGAUUUGUCUGAUUAAUUUCGAUAACGAACGAGACCUUAACCUGCUAACUAGUUGUGUCUACUUUCGGGUAGGCAUUCUGCGGGGUCAAACCCGCAAACUUCUUAGAGGGACAAUCUGUUUCCAGCAGAAGGAAGUGUGAGGCAAUAACAGGUCUGUGAUGCCCUUAGAUGUCCUGGGCUGCACGCGCGCUACACUGACUGGCUCAACGAGUUUUUUCGGGUCGUGCCCUCGGGUGCGUCCCGUGCCACCUUGGCAGAGAUGUCCGGGUAAUCUUUUGAAAGCCAGUCGUGAUGGGGAUAGAUGAUUGUAAUUAUUCGUCUUGAACGAGGAAAUCCUAGUAAGUGUGA
RNAcentral lists this ribosomal RNA (1699 nucleotides) under Spiculophrys agregata. RNAcentral describes it as "SSU rRNA". It matches the Rfam family "Eukaryotic small subunit ribosomal RNA", at positions 24 to 1626 of the family's 1831-position model. The record is from RNAcentral. Lineage: Eukaryota; Centroplasthelida.